CUCUGAUAUUAUACUCCUUCUCAACCGAUUAGCAUCCUUAAAAACACUUGCCAACUCCUCCAUUUCCACCUUCAUUGCCCCGUCAACCUCUAUCUUUUCUUUAUUUCCCUGAUAAAUCACCCAAUCCUCUGCAACUCUCCUCACAAACCCUGCCUGUGCCCUUUUGAUUCUGUCCACAAGAUCGGGCACCAUCAACCUCAGUCCACGCUCAAUCUGCCCAAUCUUGAUUAUCAAACUCUUUGAAGGGUCCUUCCAUGCCAUCAUAGCCUGCCAGGGCC
RNAcentral lists this unclassified non-coding RNA (278 nucleotides) under Hevea brasiliensis (rubber tree). Lineage: Eukaryota; Viridiplantae; Streptophyta; Magnoliopsida; Malpighiales; Euphorbiaceae. The record is from RNAcentral.